CAUGCAAGUCGAGGGGCAGCAUGAAGUUUGCUUGCAAACUUUGAUGGCGACCGGCGGAUGGGUGAGUAACGCGUAUCCAACCUGGCCCCUUCCCGGGCACAGCCCUUGGAAACGAGGAUUAACUCCCGAUGGCGUCGCCUUAACGCAUGUUUCGGCGACCAAAUGUUUAAGGAAGGGGAUGGGCAUGCGGGACAUUAGGUAGUUGGGGGUGUAACGGACCACCAAGCCGACGAUGUCUAGGGGUUCUGAGAGGAAGGUCCCCCACACUGGUACUGAGACACGGACCAGACUCCUACGGGAGGCAGCAGUGAGGAAUAUUGGGUCAAUGGAGGCAACUCUGAACCGGCCAAGUAGCGUGCAGGACGACGGCCCUAUGGGUUGUAAACUGCUUUUAUGCGGGGAUAAAUGAGCCUACGUGUAGGUUUUUGCAGGUACCGCAUGAAUAAGGACCGGCUAAUUCCGUG
This 464-nucleotide ribosomal RNA is filed under the name uncultured bacterium. Its description in RNAcentral is "bacterial SSU rRNA". It matches the Rfam family "Bacterial small subunit ribosomal RNA", at positions 54 to 507 of the family's 1533-position model. The record is from RNAcentral.